This 74-nucleotide transfer RNA is filed under the name Marinobacter sp. X15-166B. It matches the Rfam family "tRNA". Rfam says of the family: Transfer RNA (tRNA) molecules are approximately 80 nucleotides in length. Lineage: Bacteria; Pseudomonadati; Pseudomonadota; Gammaproteobacteria; Pseudomonadales; Marinobacteraceae. The record is from Rfam by way of RNAcentral.
GCGCCCGUAGCUCAGCUGGAUAGAGCGCUGCCCUCCGGAGGCAGAGGUCUCAGGUUCGAAUCCUGACGGGCGCG